UUCUGGGAGAGGAAAACCUCACAAAGACA
This 29-nucleotide non-coding RNA is filed under the name Mus musculus (house mouse). The record is from RNAcentral. Lineage: Eukaryota; Metazoa; Chordata; Mammalia; Rodentia; Muridae.